RNAcentral lists this ribosomal RNA (509 nucleotides) under uncultured bacterium. RNAcentral describes it as "partial 16S ribosomal RNA". It matches the Rfam family "Bacterial small subunit ribosomal RNA", at positions 28 to 523 of the family's 1533-position model. The record is from RNAcentral.
GACGAACGCUGGCGGCGCGCUUAACACAUGCAAGUCGAGCGAGAACCAGUCCUUCGGGGCUGGGGACAGCGGCGAACGGGUGAGUAACACGUGGGUAAUCUGCCCUCGGCACCGGAAUAGCCCGGGGAAACCCGGAUUAAUGCCGGAUGGCCUCUCUGCCCCUCGGGGCGGGGAGAAAAGGUAGCUUCGGCCUCCGGCCGAGGAUGAGCCCGCGGCCGAUUAGCUUGUUGGGGGGGUAACGGCUCACCAAGGCGACGAUCGGUAGCUGGUCUGAAAGGGCGAUCAGCCACACUGGGACUGAGACGCGGCCCAGACUCCUACGGGAGGCAGCAGUGUGGAAUUUUGGACAAUGGGUGCAACCCCGAUCCAGCCAUGCCGCGUGCGGGAAGAAGGCCUUCGGGUUGUAAACCGCUUUUGUCAGGGAAGAAACGGCUUUCUCUAAUACAGAGGGCUAAUGACGGUACCUGAAGAAUAAGCACCGGCUAACUACGUGCCAGCCGCCGCAGUAA